AGCCAUGCAUGUCUAAGUAUAAGUAUUAUACAGCGAAACUGCGAAUGGCUCAUUAAAACAGUUAUGGUUUAUUUGAUAAUCGAAUUUUACAUGGAUAACCGUGGUAAUUCUAGAGCUAAUACAUGCUGGUGUGCCUGACUUUUCGGAAGGGCGGUAUUUAUUAGAUAACGAACCAAUAUUCCUCUGGUCUAUUGUGGUGAAUCGUGAUAACUGAUCGAAUCGCAAAGCCUUUGGCUGCGAUAUGUCAUUCAAGUUUCUGCCCCAUCAGCUUUCGAUGGUAGUGUAUUGGACUACCAUGGCUUUUACGGGUAACGGAGAAUUAGGGUUCGAUUCCGGAGAGGGAGCCUGAGAAACGGCUACCACAUCUAAGGAAGGCAGCAGGCGCGUAAAUUACCCAAUCCUGACUCAGGGAGGUAGUGACAAGAAAUAACGGACCGGCCUUUUAGGCUCGGGAUUGCAAUGAGCCGAAUUUACACCCCUUAGCGAGGACCCAUUGGAGGGCAAGUCUGGUGCCAGCAGCCGCGGUAAUUCCAGCUCCAAUAGCGUAUAUUAAAGUUGUUGCAGUUAAAAAGCUCGUAGUUGGAUUUCUGGGGAGGUGCCAAUGUCACCUUAGUGUUGCGCAGCGGCGCCUCUCCAUCCUUCUGUUAACGUCGUUGGACCUUAAUCAGUCUGCGGCGGGCUCAGAUAUUUUACCUUGAGAAAAUUAGAGUGUUUCAGGCAGGCCAGGCCGGAAUACAUUAGCAUGGAAUAAUGGAAUAGGACUUUAGUCUCUUUGUUGGUUUGGGGGACUGCAGUAAUGAUUAAUAGGGAUAGUUGGGGGCAUUAAUACUUAACUGUCAGAGGUGGAAUUCUCAGAUUUGUUAAAGAUUAACUUAUGCGAAAGCAUUUGCCAAGGAUGUUUUCAUUAAUCAAGAACGAAAGUUAGGGGAUCAAAGACGAUCAGAUACCGUCCUAGUCUUAACCAUAAACUAUGCCGACUCG
Molecule: ribosomal RNA, 981 nt
Filed under: uncultured eukaryote
Lineage: Eukaryota
Description: SSU rRNA
Rfam family: Eukaryotic small subunit ribosomal RNA
Source: RNAcentral